AACAUACAGGUUUGUCUGACCCAACGGGUCC
This 31-nucleotide small RNA is filed under the name Bombyx mori (domestic silkworm). RNAcentral describes it as "ovarian small RNA-10257". The record is from RNAcentral. Lineage: Eukaryota; Metazoa; Arthropoda; Insecta; Lepidoptera; Bombycidae.